CCUAGGGUGGCAGCAGUGGGGAAUAUUGGACAAUGGGCGAAAGCCUGAUCCAGCCAUGCCGCGUGUGUGAAGAAGGCCUUCGGGUUGUAAAGCACUUUCAGUGGGGAAGAAAGCCUUGGGGCUAAUACCCUCGAGGAAGGACAUCACCCACAGAAGAAGCACCGGCUAACUCCGUGCCAGCAGCCGCGGUAAUACGGAGGGUGCGAGCGUUAAUCGGAAUUACUGGGCGUAAAGCGCGCGUAGGCGGUCUGAUAAGCCGGUUGUGAAAGCCCCGGGCUCAACCUGGGAACGGCAUCCGGAACUGUCAGGCUAGAGUGCAGGAGAGGAAGGUAGAAUUCCCGGUGUAGCGGUGAAAUGCGUAGAGAUCGGGAGGAAUACCAGUGGCGAAGGCGGCCUUCUGGACUGACACUGACGCUGAGGUGCGAAAGCGUGGGUAGCAAACAGGAUUAGAUACCCGAGUAGUC
This 464-nucleotide ribosomal RNA is filed under the name Vreelandella stevensii. RNAcentral's name for it is "partial 16S ribosomal RNA". It matches the Rfam family "Bacterial small subunit ribosomal RNA", at positions 338 to 795 of the family's 1533-position model. The record is from RNAcentral. Lineage: Bacteria; Pseudomonadati; Pseudomonadota; Gammaproteobacteria; Oceanospirillales; Halomonadaceae.